GGAGGCGUCGCAUAGCGGUCUAGUGCGCACGCUUGGAAAGCGUGUGUGGGGCAACCCACCGAGAGUUCGAAUCUCUCCGCCUCCGCCC
Molecule: transfer RNA, 88 nt
Filed under: Candidatus Adlerbacteria bacterium RIFOXYB1_FULL_48_10
Lineage: Bacteria; Candidatus Adleribacteriota
Also listed under: 2 other names
Description: tRNA-Ser
Rfam family: tRNA
About the family: Transfer RNA (tRNA) molecules are approximately 80 nucleotides in length. Their secondary structure includes four short double-helical elements and three loops (D, anti-codon, and T loops).
Source: RNAcentral